GUGCCAGCAGCCGCGGUAAUACAGAGGUCCCAAGCGUUGUUCGGAUUUACUGGGCGUAAAGGGAGCGUAGGUGGCAGACUAAGUCUGAUGUGAAAGCUCUGAGCUUAACUCAGAAAUGGCAUUAGAUACUAGUUUGCUUGAGGAUUGGAGGGGAGACUGGAAUUCUCGGUGUAGCAGUGAAAUGCGUAGAUAUCGAGAGGAACACCAGUGGCGAAGGCGAGUCUCUGGACAAUUCCUGACACUGAUGCUCGAAAGCUAGGGGAGCAAACGGGAUUAGAUACCCCCGUAGUCC
Molecule: ribosomal RNA, 292 nt
Filed under: uncultured bacterium
Lineage: Bacteria
Description: partial 16S ribosomal RNA
Rfam family: Bacterial small subunit ribosomal RNA
Source: RNAcentral